RNAcentral lists this long non-coding RNA (269 nucleotides) under Elaeis guineensis (African oil palm). RNAcentral describes it as "long non-coding RNA (EGUI_LNC071588)". The record is from RNAcentral. Lineage: Eukaryota; Viridiplantae; Streptophyta; Magnoliopsida; Arecales; Arecaceae.
GCUCGUGACGGAGCCGACGGAUGGUCCGGGACUUCUUGGCCGCGUCGUCCCUCGCCGACUUCAGCUCCGACUCCAACGACGCGUUGGUCUCCUUAAGCCCGAAAACCUCCUCCGAAAGUUGGGAGACCUCACCCUCGAGCCGGUUCUCCCGAUCGACCGACUGCUGAAAUUGGUCGACAAGGAUGGUCUUCUCGGCUUCGAGCCCCACGACCUUGUCUCUCCAGGUCGCGCGCAUGUCCCCAAACUUCCGAUAUCCGGCUUCCAGCUCG